UAAGCUUCCACAAAAUAGACAUUUCCCUUUAGUCUGGAAAAAAAUGAAAUUCAGACCACUGCAGAUGCUCAAAUGCCAAAUGACUUUCAAGCAUGAGAAAAUCUUGAAAUCCUAAGCAUAAAACAUAUGGCGCUUUGCUUUGGAAUGAGAUUGAAAGGGAAAAGCUCAACGGUAAAGCUGAACCGAGGACAUUUCAUUAUUCAGAAUGAUAGGAAAGAGCUUUCUUUUAGCAUAAGAAGUGAGAAUUUUGAGCAGAUCUGACUAUUUUUGAAGGCAAGCAGCAGCCUUAUUAUUUAUUUGCAUUGUGGUCAUAUUAGGUCAAUUAUUAACUCACUCAAAUGAAAGCCAAAAAGCUCCUUAGGAAUCUGUUUUAUGUGAAAGUGUGGAUGGAAGUGGAAACAGCCAAGCAGAUUUCAUUCAGUUUAGGAGAAAAACAUCAACCGUUGUUUCUCUCUCUGCGUGCACAGAUUUGGGACAGCUUUGGGCAUCCAGUAUGGAUAUCCAAAGGAAGCAAAAUGGGGCUGAGGUAUUCACUGCUGAUAGUGGAGGGGAGGGUGGGAGGAGGGGGAACAUCCCCCAAAUAUGAAGUAUCUGGGAGAUCCGUGUGUCCAUAUUAGCAGUGUCUGUAUUUUUGCCCCAUGGGAGCUCUCCCCUUUUGCAAUCUGCCACUCACAUCCCAUGAGCCAGAAGCAAUUGUGACUCAGAGCCGCUUUUCUGACCCUGUCUGCAACUGCAGAUCGCCCCAAGGCACAGCAGCUCAUUAACCUGGGGUUGUUCUUUGUAGCUGCAGGUGGUUUUCUCACUCCUGAUCCCAUCCCCAUCCCUCUCUCCAACCAUUCUCCUCCUGUGGGCCACGUUUCAAUUCCAAAUGUCCAUUUUACACCUCGCUUUAAUUAGUUUUGUAUCACCGUGUUGUAUUUAUAUUGCUUGACGUAAGCUUCACGUUGCUUCCAUUACAUCUUAUGCGUUGCUGUGAUUUUUAUUUAUGGUGUUUCUGGUGCAUUUGCAUUACUUUCCUGAGAUGGAUAUCAUUUUGGCUGGAUUUACAGUGUAUUUCUUCAGUUAGAUUUAUAUCGCUUUAAUUAGAUUUAUAUCUCUUUAGGCUUUGAGGGCUUCACUUAGAUUUACAAUCUCUCUUUUAGCAGGCUUGUCUUGCACGGGAGAUUCGCAUCCUUUUUCUUUCAAAGGGUAUUGCUUAACUCAACACCAGUGUUGCUUUAUCUAGGCUUUGGUCAGCCUCCCAGUUAGGUACACGAAGCCAGAACUCACAGCUUGCUUUCUUUCCCCUUAAUUUAUGGUAGAAUAAUCCUGUUGGAAUUUAAAUUAACCUCUUCCAAGCCAACACCAGCAUGAACGUACUGGAGGUCAUCUCACCAACUGGAUCAAUGAGAGUCCAGUUAGCAAGAUGCUCUUCCUUCCUGUGCACUAAAUGCAGUGUGCAGCUGUGUGAUGGAGGCUCCAAGCUUGCUUUUCCCUUUGCCAUAAUCAAGAAGCCUCGCUGGAGCUGAUCUCUUGCAGAACACAGGCUGUGCUUCCCAACAACAGCCACAGAGGACGUGGCUUUGUGCUCCUGCCCAGCUCUGAAUCACAUCAGCUGGAAGGGAUCUACAUCCAUGUGCUUUGGGGUGAAAGCUAAGCUGAGAUUGAGAGAGGUCAGUGGGUGUUCCCUGAGGGCUGUUUUUUCAGGUGUUCACAGCAGGAUGCUCGGCUGCUUUCCCACUUGGAGGCAAUUUGGGGCUCUGUUGAAGGGCAGGAUGUGGGCCGGGUGCAUUCAGCUUUAGCUGAUGGAAAUGAACUCCCAUGAGUCCCUCCAGCUAUCAGCACUCAGUUGGGCAGGGCUGGCUGCACCCUGAGCUCUCACCCAACCCAACCCAACCUCCUGGCCCUCUCCUUGCCCAAAACACAGUGAGACUCUGAUGCUUACUGUGUGCCCAAUGAUGUUACAAGAACCACAGAACCAUUACAGAACCUUUGGAGUUGAUCACUAAGCUCAUCAAGUCCAACCCAUCCCCACUGUGCCCACCAGCCACGUCCCCAUCCUCUGCCCUUCCUGCAGCUGCACAAACGAGUGGCUAAUUCAAUUAAUGUGCAUCUAAUUAGGCCAUCAGCAUCUCUGGAAGAGGGGCUGCAUCCGCAGCAUGGGCUGCAGUGGUCUGAGCAUUCCAUUGCCUUCCCCAUGCUCUGCCACUGGGCCCCAUUCAUUUAAUUACGCCUGGCUGCUGUGCUCCUCACCCUUUUAAUUGCCCUGGACACAGAGCAGCGUGGUAAGCAGGUCAGAGAUAGAUGCUGGGCAUUGUUUUAAGACAGUAAAGCUGUUUUUAAACAGCAUUCAGCAGCUUGCUUUAUGUAAUUGCUGAGAGAAGGAGGGCAUUCAGCAGGGGCAGCGGGGAAUGCUCCAAAGGGAUGCUGAGCAGCUCCUAAUUAACGACAAAUGACUCGGAGCCUGGUGCAGUGCUGUAACUGUAAGAUCUCUGCCGAAUGCCACAGCUGCAAGUCCUUUCCCAGAGCUUCAGACCAAGCCAUAGGUCUGCAGCAAUAUUCCCAGAUAGAACUGGGAUUUAGUCAACAGUUUGGAGGACUGGGAGAGCAAAACCCAAACUAAUUAACUCUCCCUGAGGCUUAUUAGUUCUCUGGUGCUGGGAUCAAUGGGAAAAGGCUGAUUUUUAUGUGUUCACAUGCCCAAAAAGAGCUGCCCUGAUUGAACACUUCAAAAAGCACUGAUGAUUCUUUCAUGUAGUUUAAAAGUGGGGUUUGGCAUGAAAAUAAAAACAAAGGAGGGAGAUUAAAUAGAUCAAGGCAGCACAUUUGGGCCUGAUCCCUGACCUCAGUUACGCCACUUCUACCUGAAAUUCACGGUGGAGAAAAUAAGAUGAGAAACAGGCAGCAAAGACUUGUGCUUGGUUGGUUUUCAUUUUGGAGACUGAUAUUGCUGAGGCCGUUCUGGACAGGGUGUGUUUUCAGAGCACAACUGAGGUCUGUUUGUCCUUCCCUUUGCACCGCUGUCCUGAUCUCAGGCUGUGCAACACCCAGCCAAAGUGCUGGAAGGAAAAGCUGCCUGGCUCUGUGUGUGCAGUCCAGCAAGGGAAAUAAACCCAAUGGGGCCAGGGCAGGGGAUGGAAAGCCUGGCAAGCCACGGGCAAGCUGCCCAGGCUAAGGCUGCAUGGCUCAGGAUGUGCUGGGUGAGCAGCCUGCCCAGGGCACUGAGCAUUCGGGAUGUUUCCAGGGGCCCUGCUGAGCCUCCUAGAUGUGCUCACUGCAGUGUACGCUCUGCUGAAAGCUCUGCAGGGCUGUGAGUGCUGCUGGAGGAGCUCCCAGAGAUGUGUGUGGCCUCAGGACCGUGAGGAAGCCUGCCCAGCCCCUGGUCUGCCACCUUCCAAAGCACAUCAUGUUUUCCAAGCAUGGGUGAGAUCAGGAUCUCAUUUUGCUCUGGUCUGAUCUGCAAUCUAGCCUCAAAUCUCUUGCACUGAGAAGACAGGUGGAUGCAAGGCUUUGAUGUCUGCUGUAUCCCUCCCCCUCCAUGCCCUGACCACACUGGAGCAAUGUCCAAUUCAUUACACACAGCCUGCUGCAUCCCCUUGGAAGAAAAGGGACUCGACAUCAGUUGUCUAUCUAAGCUCUGCCUCUGAGGGGACUUAGAACAGCUGGCUCUGAGCACUCCAGCAGGCACUAAUUACCCUAACGGGCCUCCCCAGGCCUUGCCCCAAGCACCUUCUUCCCAUUGGCCCUACAGUUCUAUUUAAGUUCAGGCCAGGAGCUGUACCAUUCUACUGAGCACCUGGAACAGGGGACAAGUGGAUGAAGAAGGCAGCAUCCUCAGACAUAGAGGCAGCCCCUGGGCAUGGAGCAGGCUUGGUGGGACAGAGCAUCCCUAAGUAGGGGUGGGCAGAUAAGCCAGGGCUGUGCUGAGGCUCUCAGCUUUGCAGCAACAGCUGUCUGAGCCUGGAUCUGAGUGGGUACAAAUCCCUUCCUGCUUUUCCAAGGUGCUGACAUGACACUGAACUUCAAGUUUGGAGGUGAGGAAGGAAGAUUUGCUGCUCAGUUGGGGCUGACCAAAGCUGCAUCCCAGGCCCCAAGGUGAAGCUGUGUCAGACUGUAAUCCUCUGCUCCCAAGCACUGCUGGAACAUCACAGCAGAGCAUGGAGGAGAAUGUUUUCUUUUAACGGCACAUUUUUCCUUAAACCAGUUUGCAGGCACGGCUGAGGCAUUUUAAUGGAAAUUUCCUCCCAGUAAAAAGGCUGCAGCACACAUACCAGAAACUCUUGGCCCGGAUCGUUAACAUUCAGUAAAACUAUAAGCAACCCAGUGGGAGCAUUGAGCUGCGAGGCAUGCUUCAUCUUCCUACAGCUCAGGACACAGACUGUGAAUAUGGGGCAGCCCUUCAGAUGUACCAACAGCAAAGUCAGAAGAGGCCAACACCAGUGAAGCCUUGCUUUGGCCACCAGGACCUGUCCCACAGUCUUUAAGCUGUACUUAAUCCUCUCAGAUGCCCUUCAUGGCCACUGAUCUCCAGCCACCCUGCUCUGCUGAUGGUGAAUCUCAGAAAGCUACCCUCUCCUGUGCUCCUUGGCUGCUUUCUGUCUAUUCUCAUGGGUGCUGGGAUCGGAUCUUCCAUUCCCAGGUCACUUUUGGGGUCUGUUUGUGCCUCAGUCCCAUUGCAGGAGCAAAGCAUUGCUGGCAAGGUGCUGGACACUGGAAGGAGCCCUCUGAGAUGGUCUCUUUUCUCAUUUCCCAGGCUCUAAGAGGAUACUAGGAGGAAAAUUGAUCCUAUUUACUCCACGCCAACUUUACAGGGAAGGAGAGCCCUGAAUUCCCCCUCACACCCUGCGGUCCAGGUACACAGCAGGCACUGCUGAAACCUGCAGCCAGGAGCUCACAGCUGCACAGAUGGAUGCAUCCUCAUCCCUGCUAUCCUCCAGCAUAGACAUGGGACUGUGCCACGCUCCAGUGCUGGGCUGCACACUGCUGGACCUGAAGUGACCCUGGUGCGAUGGGGAAGCUGAUCCCAGGUUUGAGCAGAGCACAGCCCUUCACACUGGACAUGUUCCAAGGGUUAUUUGUGCCUGCUGACCUCACGGCGCUUUUCCUUCCAGCCCCUGCUGGGGUCCUCCUGUCUCUUUGCAUAAUCUCCUCUGAAGAAAUAGCAGGAGUGGGGCUUUCUUUGCAGCUUUUGUCCAGGAGAGCCGCCUUGCUGCACGGUUCCACUUUGAGAACCCCCCUCUCUUUUUGUGUUUGAGCUGAACCGUUUCUUUUCUCCCCUCUUUGCACCUCUUAACUUUCUCUCCUCUAUUCUUUGCACCGUUAUUGUCCUGAAAAGUAUUUUGAGGACACAGUUUGUUCGAAGCAAGGCUGUGACAAUGCAAGGGCUACAACUGGAAGCGUGGAUUAAAGCAAUGCUUUCUAUUUAUUUCUGUGCUUUUCCUCGCAAAGCUCUUUCUCUCAGACCCCAAUCCUGCUGCCGCUGUGACCUUUGCAUUUGCAGAGCGACCUUUGGAAAUCAAAGGGGCCCUUCGUCGGCAUCUGCCCAUCUGGAAGCGAUUGCAGCAGCGGGCGCAGGGUGGGUUGGGGCCUCGUGGCUGCAGCCUGGAGUGACCCAGUGAUGGGAAGAGGGGCUGAAGUGCCUUGCAUUGCAACCUCGGGGUGGGAAUACCUCCGGCGUGCUGCCUGGAUGCAGGGAGAGCCUCAGCAGCCACGUCAACACCAUUUGAUUCACAGCCACCGCGUGUUUAGUGGACUCUGAGUUGCGUGCGUUGGUGCAAACUGCAGCGCUGGGCUUUGCUGUUCAUGCUGGCCUCCCCUCUCCUUUGUAUUCAAUUAUUUGCCAGGGAGGAGAAAACACGAAGAAAGAGGGAAAAAAAAAAAAAAAA
Molecule: non-coding RNA, 5864 nt
Organism: Meleagris gallopavo (turkey)
Lineage: Eukaryota; Metazoa; Chordata; Aves; Galliformes; Phasianidae
Source: RefSeq, a predicted model, not a curated record